GGGUGAUUAGCUCAGUGGUAGAGCAUCUCGUUUACACCGAGGGGGUCGGCAGUUCAAACCUGUCAUCACCCACCA
This 75-nucleotide transfer RNA is filed under the name Holosporaceae bacterium. Its description in RNAcentral is "tRNA-Val". It matches the Rfam family "tRNA". Rfam says of the family: Transfer RNA (tRNA) molecules are approximately 80 nucleotides in length. Their secondary structure includes four short double-helical elements and three loops (D, anti-codon, and T loops). The record is from RNAcentral. Lineage: Bacteria; Pseudomonadati; Pseudomonadota; Alphaproteobacteria; Holosporales; Holosporaceae.